AAGAUUGAUGAUUGUUUAGAGUUUAUUCGAUUCAAUAUCCUUCAACACUCUGGUGUUCAGCAUCAGAAUAGUGCAGUCCAUUAUUAUCUAUCUGUUAAGGCCACAGGUGGUGGGGCGUUUAAGUUUGCUGAUCUCU
This is a non-coding RNA of Camelina sativa (false flax), 136 nucleotides long. Lineage: Eukaryota; Viridiplantae; Streptophyta; Magnoliopsida; Brassicales; Brassicaceae. The record is from RefSeq and is a predicted model, not a curated record.